Molecule: non-coding RNA, 42 nt
Organism: Schistosoma rodhaini
Lineage: Eukaryota; Metazoa; Platyhelminthes; Trematoda; Strigeidida; Schistosomatidae
Source: Rfam
CAGCUGACGAGUCCCAAAUAGGACGAAACGCGCGUCCUGGAU